UUCUCGCCCUCUCACCGCCACCUCCUUGCAUCCACUCCCUCCUGCAAUUUGCAAAGCUCCCCUGUCCCUCGCGCUUCAAGGUGCCAAGAGGACAAGGAACCCCCUCUUGGUCGGAAGAGACUAAAGCCGAGACACCAGAGAGCUCCCGGCUGAUCUGACUGUCGCUAUUUUUCGCUGUAACUUCAGGAGAGGAGGAAGGAAAAUUCUUGAGCGUCUGGGCUGACUUCUCAGCACUCUUCACCCUCCCACCCCCAACCCCCACCUCUGUCGGAGAGGCUCCCAGGGGAAAAAGAUUUUGCAGGGUUUGGGUGUUUUUUGUUUUAAGUGACACAAAAAAUGAGGGCGGUGGGGGGAGAACUAGUCAAAAUAGUUUUUAGGAACUCAAGUACAUAGCUGGACAUUUCUUUUUUCUUAUAUAUUCAAUCUUCUUAUUCCCAGAGAACAAGAAGGAGUUGGGUUUUUUGGGUUUUUUUGGGGGGGACUGAAAAACUGUCAGCUUGGUGAUUAAAAUAAGUUGAAAAAUCUUCGCUGGGGGAAAGCAUCGGCCGUUUUCUAUGAAUUUAAAUCUUUUAUUAAGUCUAUUUUACAUCUAAGACUAAGCUUCGUGUCUGUCUUCCCCACCGCUCCCGGGAAAAAAUUAAAAAUACAAACUAAAAAAUUCAAAA
Cebus imitator (Panamanian white-faced capuchin) is the source of this 665-nucleotide long non-coding RNA. RefSeq lists it as uncharacterized. The record is from RefSeq and is a predicted model, not a curated record. Lineage: Eukaryota; Metazoa; Chordata; Mammalia; Primates; Cebidae. The transcript is spliced from 2 exons.